Molecule: long non-coding RNA, 641 nt
Filed under: Cucumis sativus (cucumber)
Lineage: Eukaryota; Viridiplantae; Streptophyta; Magnoliopsida; Cucurbitales; Cucurbitaceae
Description: long non-coding RNA (CSAT_LNC000663)
Source: RNAcentral
CUUGAUCAUAAUCUGAAAGCUGCAACUGUAGACUGCAUAAUGCUGAGACGAAGAAGAAGAAGAAAUAAUUAAGAAUUGGACAUGGAAUUCCUUGGUAUUAUGCAUAAAUUAUUGGUAAUUUAUUUGGUCUGAACUUUGAUGUUUCUUUCCUUCCAAGUAAUGGAAAUAAAAAGGGACAGCUUAAGAAUGAUUCUAACUGAGUAGAGGUGACAGCUUCAGUGUGUAAUGUUCCCUUCCUUUUACUUGAGAUAGAAACCAUGUAGCAUAUUGAAGAACAGAGCAAAAAGGAGGAAAAUGCUGUUAUGUUAUAAAUCUCAAAUUUUGGCAGUUUUUGAAAACAUUGGUUGAAACUAGAUCAUAAACCAAAAAGUUUACAGGUGUAAUGAGGGUUUAUAAGCAAAAAAAAAAAACCAAAUGAUUACUGAAAAGGGACCUUAGCUAACUGAAAUUCCAAUUCAUAAGCAGUGAGUGUAGUGUAUUUGAAAAACUCCACUGCAAUGCUAUCCUACCCUCUCAGGGACUAUUUCAUGGUAGAAUUAACAUCUGGAUAUAUAUGAUUCAUGAGUAACAUAUCUAGAGAGCUCAAUAGUGUUACAUUUACUGACUUAUACAACUUGAUACGUUAUGUAACAAGUGGAGGC